CCGCCCCUGCGAGAGGACGUUGCGUGCUCGCUCGCGGCAAGCGAGUCUCCGCGUCUCCCUCGCGAACUCGGUGAAAGGAAUUGGCGCCGUUCGACACCAGGCGGGUCCGCUCUGCAGCACGCACCUAUCUCCAGCCGCAGCUGCCGCCCGGGUCGACGAGCAGCCGCCACCAGUGGCCGACGGAGGGGAGCCGAGGUUGAGCCAGCACCCAGCGGUGAAUCGGGGCCCUCACCAUGAGUUCCUCGCCUGUUAAUGUAAAAAAGCUGAAGGUGUCGGAGCUGAAAGAGGAGCUCAAGAAGCGACGCCUGUCCGAUAAAGGCCUCAAGGCCGAACUCAUGGAUCGGCUCCAGGCCGCGCUGGACGACGAAGAGGCCGGGGGCCGCCCCGCCAUGGAGCCCGGGAACGGCAGCCUCGACCUGGGCGGGGAUUCGGCCGGGCGCUCAGGCGCAGGCCUCGAGCAGGAGGCCGCGGCCGGCGGCGACGAGGAGGAGGAAGAGGAGGAGGAAGGCAUCGCCGCGCUGGAUGGCGACCAGAUGGAGCUAGGGGAAGAGAACGGGGCCGCGGGGGCGGCCGACGCGGGCCCGAUGGAAGAGGAGGAGGCCGCGUCGGAAGACGAGAACGGCGACGAUCAGGGCUUCCAAGAAGGGGAGGACGAGCUCGCCGAGGAGGAGGAGGGAGCGGGCGACGAGAACGGGCACGGGGAGCAGCAGGCUCAACCGCCGGCGACGCCGCAGCCCCAGCCCCCCCAGCAGCGCGGGGCCGCCAAGGAGGCCGCGGGGAAGAGCGGCGGCCCCACCUCGCUCUUCGCGGUGACCGUGGCUCCGCCCGGGGCGAGGCAGGGCCAGCAACAGACGGGAGGUAAGAAGAAGGCGGAAGGCGGCGGAGGCGGCGGUCGCCCCGGGGCUCCGGCGGCGGGAGAUGGCAAAACAGAGCAGAAAGGCGGAGAUAAAAAGAGAGGGGUUAAAAGACCUCGAGAAGAUCAUGGCCGAGGAUAUUUUGAGUACAUCGAGGAAAACAAGUACAGCAGAGCCAAAUCUCCUCAACCACCUGUUGAAGAAGAAGAUGAGCACUUCGAUGACACAGUCGUUUGUCUUGAUACUUAUAAUUGUGAUCUACAUUUUAAAAUAUCAAGAGAUCGCCUCAGUGCUUCUUCCCUUACUAUGGAGAGCUUUGCUUUUCUUUGGGCUGGAGGAAGGGCCUCUUACGGUGUGUCAAAAGGCAAAGUCUGUUUUGAGAUGAAGGUUACAGAGAAGAUUCCAGUAAGGCAUUUAUAUACAAAAGAUAUUGACAUACAUGAAGUUCGGAUUGGUUGGUCACUAACCACAAGUGGAAUGUUGCUUGGUGAAGAAGAAUUUUCUUAUGGAUAUUCUCUAAAAGGAAUAAAAACAUGUAAUUGUGAGACAGAAGAUUACGGUGAAAAGUUUGAUGAAAAUGAUGUGAUUACUUGUUUUGCAAACUUUGAAAGUGAUGAAGUAGAACUGUCCUAUGCUAAGAAUGGACAAGAUCUUGGUGUCGCCUUCAAAAUUAGUAAGGAGGUUCUUGCUGGGCGGCCACUCUUCCCACAUGUUCUCUGUCACAACUGUGCAGUUGAAUUUAACUUUGGUCAAAAGGAAAAGCCAUAUUUUCCAAUACCUGAAGAUUAUACUUUCAUUCAGAAUGUCCCCUUAGAGGAUCGAGUAAGAGGACCAAAGGGCCCUGAGGAAAAGAAAGACUGUGAAGUUGUGAUGAUGAUUGGCUUGCCAGGAGCUGGAAAAACUACUUGGGUUACUAAACAUGCAGCUGAAAAUCCUGGUAAAUACAACAUUCUUGGAACCAAUACUAUUAUGGAUAAAAUGAUGGUGGCAGGUUUUAAGAAGCAAAUGGCAGAUACUGGAAAGCUGAACACGCUGUUGCAGCGAGCCCCACAGUGUCUGGGAAAGUUUAUCGAGAUUGCUGCCCGUAAAAAACGGAAUUUCAUUCUGGAUCAGACAAAUGUGUCUGCUGCUGCCCAGAGAAGAAAAAUGUGCCUGUUUGCAGGCUUCCAGCGAAAAGCUGUUGUAGUUUGCCCAAAAGAUGAAGACUAUAAACAAAGGACACAGAAGAAAGCAGAAGUAGAGGGAAAAGACCUGCCGGAACAUGCAGUCCUCAAAAUGAAAGGAAACUUUACUCUGCCAGAGGUGGCUGAAUGCUUUGAUGAAAUUACCUAUGUUGAACUUCAGAAGGAAGAAGCCCAAAAACUUUUGGAGCAAUAUAAGGAAGAAAGCAAAAAGGCACUUCCACCAGAAAAGAAGCAGAACACUGGCUCAAAGAAGAGCAAUAAAAACAAGAGUGGCAAAAACCAAUUUAACAGAGGAGGUGGCCAUAGAGGGCGUGGAGGAUUCAAUAUGCGUGGUGGAAACUUCAGAGGGGGAGCUCCUGGGAAUCGUGGUGGAUAUAAUAGGAGGGGCAAUAUGCCUCAGAGAGGUGGUGGUGGCGGUGGAAGUGGUGGAAUUGGUUACCCAUACCCACGUGGCCCAGUUUUUCCUGGCCGAGGUGGCUAUUCGAACAGAGGGAACUACAAUAGAGGUGGAAUGCCCAACAGAGGAAACUAUAACCAGAACUUCAGAGGACGAGGAAACAAUCGUGGCUACAAAAAUCAAUCUCAGGGCUACAACCAGUGGCAGCAGGGUUCUGUCCAUGUGAAUGUGCUGUGUGGAAGAGUAAAAGGGCCCAACUAAAUGUGUUCCAGUGAUUCUAAUAGGUAUUCCAAAUUAAUUGUAUAUUUAACGAUUGUUAUGUUAGGGUUCUAGGAUCACUGUCAAUAAAAUUUGUUUUUAAAGACGGGAAAAUUGGUAACCAGGUGGACAAUGCUCUGGGAAAAACAAGUCUUCCAAGUUCCCUUUGCAUACCUGCACCGAGUAUUGGCGUCCUCUCAGUUGGAUGUCCUUCCACGUAACUGUAUAAGUAUUUACACUAUGCUCCCUUACAUGAGAUCUGAGAUAAAAACUUGUGAGUUAUAAUGUAAAACAGUAGGAUAACUUUCUGUCCUUGUUUCCCUAAAAUCUUUUCUGGAUUUAUACACAAACUGCUUUAGAAUAUCUGAAAAACGGAUCAAGCUCCUUUUGGAUAAUGAGCUAAAAGUGUGAAGUCAGUUGGGAAUUUGACUGAUGGAAUGGGAAAGGUUUGUGGUGUAAGCUAUGAUCAUGCCAGUCCAGAGCAUGUAAUUGUAUAAAUCUGACUUUGAAUCACUCAAAGGAAAUUAAUUUUCCUACUACCUAUUCCAGAGUAACGUUUUUAGAUUAAAAAAUGAGAGGACUUGGGUGCAGGUGUAAUACCUGUAGGUAUCAACAUUUAAUUUAGUACAUUGUGGCCUCUGAAGGCAACAACCCUCAUGGUUUCUAAAGAGCAGGCAGCUCAAGGUUUCGUAACCUUUUCUGUUUACUAGAAAAAACCUAAUGAAACUAGAGAAAUAAAAUUUGUUGCAAAAGUAAGCUUUGAAUUUAUGUGGUAAAGCAUACUUUUCACUUGUCUUCAUGGUAUACUGGAAGAACCAUUUCUAUGGGAAACUUAAGGUAUAUGUACAGAGAUUAUUUUAAUUCCAACUAAGGCCUUGCCCUUUGACGGGUGGUUUAAAGUGUAUGGGACAUUAAUUGCUAGAAAAAUGGUGCAAGAAGAGGUGCCACUCAUUGCCUUGAUUUAUACUUUAAAGUGAAUAAGAGUUGUGUGUUACUGUAAUUAGUGGUAGCCUUAAGAUGGAAGUAAUGUCAUCCUCUAGUGAAUAUAAUGGUUGAAAAGCACUCAUUCACAACACAUUUGUAGUGCUCACAAACUUUAUAAGUGCAAUACUUUGAAGAAUAUAUUUAUAGUAAAAUUUUUGUCCUAGCUGUUUCCCUUUUAAAAAAUAAUUUUAAGUUCUUAAUGUAUAAAGUAAGCUGUAUGGAAAUACCAGUAUUUGGGUAGUAAUAUUGGCAUAUUGACCUGAUAUUAUAUUUACUGGACUAUUUUAAGAUGCUUCCAAAGUUUUAUUUUAUUCUAGAGAACCGCUACAAAUAAGACUUAAAGCAAUCGUUUUAAUUUUUGUACUUUGCUCAUUAAGAUCUGCUUACCCAAAGGGUAGUGUAUAUUUUAACAUGACUUUUAAAGGGGUGACUUGACCCCGUCAGAUUUUUAUCUAGGAAUAGGAGGAUUCAAACCCUGUUUGAUCCCUCUUUGCUGAAAAGUGCAUAAACAGGAAUCCUGAAUUUAUUAUAUAGACCUCCUCGCAUUAUAUAAUCGAAGCAAAGGGAAACCAGCGAUGGAGUUAGAGGUACGUAGACUAAAGAGAUGCUUGCAAAUCAAAUAACGGUUCUAGUAGAGUCAAGAACUCGUGUUGCCAAACCCAGUCAAUAUAAAUCACAAAUUAGAGAAGAGCUGCUAAUUUAAAUUCCCUGAGGUCCCUUUACUGAGAUGGAAAAGCAAGUAAAAGGAGGGGUGAGGGAAGGGGAAAAUGUCAAGUGCUAGGAAGAUUAAUAAAAGUAGGUAUUAUAGAAAAGCUACCCGAAGUUUUCAAAACUAACAACUACAAUUCUAUUUUGGUCAGCUACUUAGCUGGUACCUACUGCUAUAUCACCUAGUGUGAGAUUUGGAAUUAACGGGACAAUGAAGGAAGCAGUGUGCUGGAGGCUCACAAAGGAGUAUGGAAGGCCUUCAGUUGUGCAGUCAUUCUGUCAUUCUGAUGUGAAAAUGAACUAACCUUGUUAAUGAAGAAAGCAUUGGAAAUUUACCACCUGGGAGGUCUCUUUUAUCUUAUUCAGGGUAAGGUGGAGUUAUGGUAUGUUACAGCUAGAAGACACUGGAAAUUACUCCAGUUUGCGUGGUUUUACAUGUUGCAGAUAAAUGUCUUGAGUCUUCUUUAAGUGUCCUGUGUAUAUAGCUUGUUAAAAUGUCAAGAUUUAUUGAUUGCUCCCCACCUCCCCCUCAAGCUACAUCUUAAGAGCUUCCAUGUUGAGACAGGGUAUUGCCAGGUAGGCUGACCCUAAACUCAGUAUAGCUAGCUGGUCUGGGAACUUGGAACAGUCUUACUGCCUCAGCCUCCAGGUGCUGGGAUUACAGGCAGGCAUAGACAAGACUAAUAUGCCUGGCAAGACUAACACAUUUUUAAUCAUGACCAAUUUGAAUGUUAAGACUGCAUUACAUGUUGGUCUGUGCCAGUAAGAGUUGGCAGAUUUUGUAAUUGCAUUUUCCUUUACAAUAAAUGAGUGUAAGAAGUCUUUUUGGUGGCUGCCAAAUAUGAAUCAAUAAAACUUGUUAGAGCAUGUUUGGCAACAUUCACAGCUAGUUGUGGCAUUUGGUAAACCAUAUGGCUUCUGUACCCUGACCCUCAGUGACAGUCAUACAAUGCCCUCUCGUGAACUGAACUGAUAAAGCUGCCUCUUUCCUUUGAGAAAGGAUACAAAAACAAAGUACCUUACUGUGAAACACCAAAUUGAUCAGACUAGCGGCUGAACGCUGGUCUUACCCCUUGCUGUAUUAAGCAUCUACUGUAACAGUGUUGGCCAGGCUUCCUAUGAAUCUCUAGACCCAGGUGAUCUUUGCUUUAAUCUUAGGUGUAUGCCAAAGGGAAGGUUUUCCCUGCAUGAGUUAAUAGAAUUUUGGUGUUGGGUACCUUUAUUCUUCAAAGAUUUUUUUAAAGAACUGUAGUAGAUUGACUUUUUAAGGUAAUAAACUUUUUAUGUGGUAUAUACUUUAAAUUCACUUACUAAAAUUCUACAUACUUCAAAAAGCAUUAAGGGCAACUGAAAACUUAGUGAUGUUUUUUAAGGCAAGACUUUUAAGAAACUUUUCCUUGGAUUUUACAGUUCUAAAGACAUUGUCAAUAAAUUGUACUAAUACUUUAGGCAUGCCUGACAGACAACUCGAAUUGAUGCGCUGACAGCAAAGGGCCAGAAUGAGCUGGCAAGUUUUCAUACAAGUAUGAAAAAGACAGACUCUGGCUUCCAUGUGCUUUAUUUACUCAGUUGAGAGCUACUGUGUCACGUGUAUAAAAUGCUCUGUAACUGACCCCAACAUUACUAGCACUGACUUCAAAGAGUUCUCUUUCGGUUUUCUGUGUUCAGGUUGUUCAGCUGCUGCUGUUGGUUUGUUUUCUUUCAGGAUCAAGGUGGGUGCUUUCAUAUAAAAUCUUGUUUUUCAUUCCUUCCCUGGCGAUCCUUUGCUGGAUUCUUUCCUUUGCAUAAUUAUACCUGCAAUGGAACCUUAUCAAACAAUAUUGUUAUUAAUAUAUACUAUUCUUUAUAAUCACAGAAUUUUGAAAUGCUUAUGGAUGAAGAUCUGAAGAUGAAUGCUAGAAUGCUGUUUUAGAGUCAAUACCUAUGAUCAAAAUAAUAAUAUAUAAAAUGACAAUUUCUGCCACCUUAGCUUAGUUUGAAAUGUUGUGGAACUUACAUAUUUUGAGAUUCAUUACAUAAUUUACAUUAACAAUCAGAAUGAGAUGAGAAAGAAAAUGGAACAGUUGAAUUCGUCUUAUCAUUUAUUGAUUUAUUCAAGUAUUCCUGGUAUAGUAUGUGAAUAUAUAAUAUUUAAAGGCAAAGGCAUCCCAGCACCACUGCUUUGUAAGAUGGAUUUCUAUUAAAAACUCAUUAAGAUUUUCAGAGGGUGGCUCUCCCAGUGAGAUUUGUUGGGAAAAUACAUGAGCUUUUGACCUUUGUGACCUAUAGUGAUCUUGGGUUAUGGCAAACAUACCAGCAUCCUAAAGUCACCACGAUAAAUCCUCCUACUCCAACAUCACAUGAUCUUCUAAUUCUGCCUGUAAGGAGCAAGGAAUAAGAAAUACAUACAUGAUUGUUACUUCAUCUAGAAAAAUGGUUUUCUAUAGAUAAAAGGGGUAUUUUGUGUAAAAAAAACCCUAAGCAUACUCACUAGUUAACAAAAAGUAUCCAAGUCCAGCCACAACAGAUCCUAAUGAACCAUACAAUACUGAAUCCCGUGCACAGGGAAUGUUUUCAACAUCUAAAAUUCCUAGGAGCUUAAAGGGCUAGAUUAAAAGAGAAAAAACCUAGAUUGAACAAAGUAUUUUAGUUCAAGGUAGUGCAGCAAAGAAUACAGUGUAGUAUUUUAAGAUAUAAACUCAGAUGUGCCGGUUAACACUCUUUGAUAACUGUUAUAUAACCAACUGAACCUAUAUAAUUACAAGCCUUCAAAAUUUGAUCACAAAGCCCUAAGCAGUGGUACAAUUUUACAUCCGGACAUAAUCAGCUGAUUUGAAAAUAACUUUUAGGUACAUUUCUGUGGAAAUUUUGUCUUUCAGCUGAAACAAAAUUCAGUUAUCUGGGAAGCAAAUGAAAAAAGUUACUUGAACCAUGUUUGCUUGUAAUAUUUCCUCCAUGUCUUUAUUUCAGGUUUUGGUGCUAAUCAGAUCAGUUGGCAGUUAUAACCUUUUGUUAACAUGAACAUGGAUAAUGUGUUUCUCUGGCCUCAAACCUGUUUCCCUGCCUGUCUCAUGAAGUUGCAUUUUAUGAUUGGUAGCUUAUGGAACCCACAGCUAUGUAAAUCCUAAGUUUUUUUUUCCCCCCCCUGUUUUUACCUGUACCGGGGAUCGAACUCAAGACUGACUGCUUGCAAGGCAGGCACUUACGCUGCUGAGCUAAAUCCCCAGCCCUCUGAGUGAAGUUUUACUUGGCUUGCCACUUCAUUUUAUCUCCAUGGCCUUAAUCUAAAAUGAAAAGGGAUUGUUUUUCCAACCUCUUAAAUGAGUUGUCUUAAGUUGUAUUUUAUUGACUUUUCCCUAGUAUGAUCAGCCAGAGGCCUGCCAGUUUGACAGACAUGCCUGCAACUAGCAGGAAUGUGUUGAAACUAUCUCAGUCACCAGCUUUAAACUCUGAGCAGUUGCCCAACCUCAGCCUCCUGAGUGCUGCAAUCACAGUUGUGUGACUCCACACCGGCUUGAGGACAGUAUUUCUGUUAAUAAAAGGCCCAUAGGGGCCUGGGUUGUGUUUCUAGCUUGUGGAGGGCUUUAGGUUGGAGCCCCAAGUUUUCAUGAUGGCUUAAAAAAGCAUCAAAUAGCGUUAAGGUAGCUGGAUGAGUCUGUAGGGUAAAGCAGUGGCCUACGAGAGGGAAAGCACACAGAACAAAGGACAGUAAGAGUUGAGACAUACAGAUAACUCCAUUGUAUUUCAUCCUACAUGUUUGCUUUAGCAUCUGCUGGCAAAGACAAAAUGUGACUUCGUUCAUAAUAAAGUACAAAUCAUAUA
Cavia porcellus (domestic guinea pig) is the source of this 8186-nucleotide RNA transcript. It is a transcript of the gene named heterogeneous nuclear ribonucleoprotein U, with no coding region annotated. The transcript has 15 exons. The record is from RefSeq and is a predicted model, not a curated record. NCBI's taxonomy places the organism in Eukaryota, Metazoa, Chordata, Mammalia, Rodentia, Caviidae.